Molecule: ribosomal RNA, 534 nt
Filed under: Triticum aestivum (bread wheat)
Lineage: Eukaryota; Viridiplantae; Streptophyta; Magnoliopsida; Poales; Poaceae
Description: partial small subunit ribosomal RNA
Source: RNAcentral
AUGGAUCGUCACAUGCGCGGCCUCCCGGCCGGCGACGCCGAACCGGAACCGCCGGAGACGCGGCACGCACGACAGCCGCCCACCCGCCUGCCAUCCCAGCAGUUUGCCGGUUUCCUCCGCCGCCCGUCUCCUCGUUUUUUUCUAACCGCCUCCGCCGCACGCGGCCUCCUCCCCGACGAAACCGCCGGGGCAGCGGCCGCCCGCCAUGCCGAGGCAGUUGUUUCCUGCGCCGCUCUGCUUCGAUCGUGCGUGCGCCUCGGUUUUGCACCGCCCGUCCCAAACUCCCAACCGGAGCCGGUGGCGUCACAUGCCGCGCCUCUGGCGCCGGCUCACGUGACCGCUUUGGCGGGUCGACACGCGCCUGCCCUCGUUCUCAGAGCGCGGCACAUGCAGGGGGCGAGCUGCCCCAUGUGUCCGUACGGGAGCCCCGAGGCUGACCAAUCCGCCAGCGGCGCAACGUGCGCGCACUGCACUGCACGUCGCUGUACGUACGCUCACCUCCACACUGCUCGAUCCAGUAGCGUAGUAGUAUAG